Molecule: unclassified non-coding RNA, 266 nt
Filed under: Hevea brasiliensis (rubber tree)
Lineage: Eukaryota; Viridiplantae; Streptophyta; Magnoliopsida; Malpighiales; Euphorbiaceae
Source: RNAcentral
UCGCGCCGCCAUCGCGGGGUUGGUGUUCGACGUGCUGCGCCGCCGGGCGUCGUCGGCGUGGCUGAUGGAUACCGAUACACCGCGUGCGCGUCUGCUGGGGAUGCUCAAGCUUGAACGCGGCCUCGGUGCGGAUGCCGUUGCGGCGCUGUGCGAUGGCGGGCGUUUUGCGCCGGAGGCUCUCACGGACACCGAACGUGCGGCGCUCACAUCGCGGACGUUGAAAGAUGCGCCCGCACAUGUCGCGGGCGAUUAUCCUGAAUGGCUCG